GACGAACGCUGGCGGCGUGCUUAACACAGGCAAGUCGAACGGAAAGGCCCGGCUUUUGUGGGGUGCUCGAGUGGCGAACGGGGGAGGAACACGGGAGUAACCUGCCCUUGACUUGGGGAUAAAUUCAGGAAAAUGGGGGUAAUACCGGAUAGGAGCUCCUGCUGCAUGGUGGGGGAUGGAAAGUUUCGACGGUUGGGGCUGGACGCGCGGCUUAUCAGCUUGUUGGUGGGGGAGUGGCUUACCAAGGAUAUGGCGGGUAGCCGGCCUGGGAGGGUGACAGGCCCCAUUCGGCCUGGGAGACGGCCCGGACUCCUACGGCAGCCAGCAGUGCGGACUUUUCCGCGAUGGGCGGAAGCCUGAUGGAGCAACUCCGCGUGCGGGAUGACGGCCUUCGGUUUGUAACCCGCUUUCGCCUGUGACGAAGCCUCAGUGACGGUAAUGUGUAAAAAAGCACCGGCUAACUACGUG
RNAcentral lists this ribosomal RNA (468 nucleotides) under uncultured bacterium. RNAcentral's name for it is "partial 16S ribosomal RNA". It matches the Rfam family "Bacterial small subunit ribosomal RNA", at positions 28 to 507 of the family's 1533-position model. The record is from RNAcentral.